CUGGUGGUCUGCCGUUAUAUAUAACGGUUAUAACGAUGGCAUGACCGUUAUAACGACAGUAAUGCAGGGGGGCAGCAGAAGGUGGCAGCUGCAGGAUGGGGGCAGUUCUGGGUCCGGGAAAGGGCGGCGUGCAUGGGGCUGAUCUUGUCCGCCCCUUUGCUCAUUCCGCAGGAGGAGGAGGACGGGAGGAAGACUCGCUGCCGCUGCUGCUCCUCUUCGGGAGACCCCUGCACGGUCCUCCGGGCGGCCUCCGUAGUCAAGAUACCUGAGCCUGCCUGAGCAGGAGGAGAAGGAAGGCUUCUGCAACUGAGACCCGUUCCAGAGAGAUUCCCAGCAAACAGAAGAAGAUCUGGCUUUGUCCGUGUCCCGUCUGCACAGAAUGGGGAUGCAGACGUGAGCCUCCUGGGCUGCAGAAGAAAUUGUACUUCAAGAAUUCAUGUGAAAGAGCUUGAUUGCUGGGCGUUAGAGUUACUGGUGAAGAAGAUGCCUUUUGGGUUGAAAUGUGCUAGGCCCGGGGGUCUGCAGAGCGUCUGGUUUAUGGGGCAUAACUGGCAGACGUGAGUCGGUGUCUGAGGCCUAACACAGCAGCCUCCCCCCUUGCCAGGAGAGGAGAAGAGAGGAGUCGUGAUGGAGGGAGAGGUUUUCUCAGGUUUGUGAUACACAGAAUCCUCAUCAGUCUACAACACAAUGCUUGUGCAUGAGGGAAAGGUCCGGCUGCCUGCUUGGGACUGAAAUCCGCUCACUGGAGUAGGUGUCGGGGAAAACUCUCUGCACUUAUGAUACAGGUUGUUUUUGCCUCAGCACCUUUGGCCAAAAAAGGUAUUGUGACUGAACAGCCAUAAUAAAGUUGAACUGUUCUA
Sphaerodactylus townsendi is the source of this 860-nucleotide long non-coding RNA. RefSeq lists it as uncharacterized. The record is from RefSeq and is a predicted model, not a curated record. The transcript is spliced from 4 exons. NCBI's taxonomy places the organism in Eukaryota, Metazoa, Chordata, Lepidosauria, Squamata, Sphaerodactylidae.